RNAcentral lists this ribosomal RNA (1115 nucleotides) under bacterium. RNAcentral describes it as "bacterial SSU rRNA". It matches the Rfam family "Bacterial small subunit ribosomal RNA", at positions 9 to 1375 of the family's 1533-position model. The record is from RNAcentral.
GAGUUUGAUGAUGGCUCUGAUUGAACGCUGUCCAAAUGCUUGACACAUGCUAAUCGAACGUCAUAGGACUAAUCCUAUGAAGUGGUGUACAGGGUCGAAACUGAGAGGUUGAUCGACCACAUUGGGUCUGAAAAAACCCCAAUACGUAUAGUACAGCAGUGAGGAAUAUUGGUCAAUAGCCUAACGGCUGAACCAGCAACUUGGAGGAAUGUAAGUAUAUGUAGGGUUAGCCUUACAUAUGCGUUUCGACUACGUCGUAUAAAGUUCUAGAUAGAAUACUGAUAAUGACAAUUUUCUAUCUAUAUGUCUUGACCAAAUCUCGUGCCAGCAGUCGCGGCAAUACGAGGAAGACUAGUGUUAUUCAUCUUUAUUAGGUUUAAAGGGUACCUAGACGGCAUAUCAAGCCCCAAAAGGGAACAGAUAUACUAGAGUUUUAUGUGAGAGGAAUAUAUUAGUACUAUUGGUGUAGAGAUGAAAUUCUUUGAUACUAAUAGGACGGAUAAGAGCAAAAGCAAACCUUUAUGUAAAAACUGACGUUGAGGGACGAAGGCUUGGGUCGCGAAUAGGAUUAGAUACCCUAGUAGUCCAGGCAGAGAAUUAUGAAUGUUAUAGACUUGCGAAUGUAAGUGUAUAAAUGAAAGUGUAAGCAUUCCACCUCAAGAGUAAUGUGGCAACGCAGGAACUGAAAUCAUUAGACCGUUUCUGAAACCAGUAGUGAAGUAUGUUAUUUAAUUCGAUAACCCUCGAAAAACCUUACCACAAUUUGAAUACUUCGACCAAAGGUCGUUGUACAAGUGUUGCACGGCUGUCUUCAGUUAAUGUCGUGAGAUUCUGGUUAGAUCCAUUAAAUUAACGUAAACCCUUACUUUAUUUGUUUUUUAUAAAGUAGUUCACCGCUAUAUUGGAUGUGAUAACAGGGACCAAGACAAGUCAUCAUGACCUUAAUAUUGUGGGCUAUAGACGUGCCACAUAUGCCUUUACAAAGAGAGGCGAAAAUGCGAAUUUGAGCUAAUCUCUAAAAUUGGAUAUAAAAUGAAUUGCAGCCUGUAACUCGGCUGCAUGAAAAAGGAAUUACUAGUAAUCGUGAAUCACCACAUCACGGUGAAUUUAAUCUC